UAACGCAUGCAAGUCGAACGAUAAAGCGAAUUUAUUCGCGAUUAAAGUGGCGAACGGGUGAGUAACGCGUGGGAAACCUGCCCUUCGAGUGGGGGAUAACAUUCCUAACGGAAUGCUAAUACCGCAUAACAUCACAGAUCGCAUGGUCUGUGCUCAAAGAUAGCCUCUACAUGUAAGCUGUCGCUCGAAGAUGGUCCCGCGUCCUAUUAGCUUGUUGGUGGGGUAACGGCCUACCAAGGCAUCGAUGGGUAGCCGGCUUGAGAGAGUGGUCGGCCACACUGGGACUGAGAUACGGCCCAGACUCCUACGGGAGGCAGCAGUCGAGAAGCUUCGGCAAUGGGGGAAACCCUGACCGAGCGACGCCGCGUGGACGAUGAAGUUUUUCGGAAUGUAGAGUCCUGUCAUAUGGGAUGAAAAAUUGAUUGGUUAAUUACCUUUCAAUCUGACAGUACUAUAAGAGGAAGCUCCGGCUAACUCCGUGCCAGCAGCCGCGGUAAUACGGGGGGAGCGAGCGUUAUUCGGAAUCAUUGGGCGUAAAGAGUUCGUAGGCGGUCAGAAUAGUCAGAGGUGAAAUCUAACGGCUUAACCGUUAAAUUGCCUUUGAAACUCUCUGACUUGAGUACGUGAGAGGAAAGCGGAAUUCUUGGUGUAGCGGUGAAAUGCGUGGAUAUCAAGAGGAACACCCGUGGCGAAAGCGGCUUUCUGGCACGAUACUGACGCUGAGGAACGAAAGCCAGGGGAGCAAACAGGAUUAGAUACCCUGGUAGUCCUAGCGGUACACGAUGGGCACUAGGUGUCGGGGGGCUUGACCCCCUCGGUGCCGCAGCUAACGCAUUAAGUGCCCCGCCUGGGGAGUACGAUCGCAAGAUUGAAACUCAAAGGAAUUGACGGGGGCCCGCACAAGCGGUGGAGGAUGUGGUUUAAUUCGAGACAACGCGAAGAACCUUACCUGGAUUUGACAUGUUUAGGACCGACUGAAAGCAGUCUUUCCCUUCGGGGAUCUUUACACAGGUGCUGCAUGGCUGUCGUCAGCUCGUGCCGUGAGGUGUUGGGUUAAGUCCCGCAACGAGCGCAACCCCUAUCUAUAGUUGCCAUCAGGUAAUGCUGGGGACUCUAUAGAGACUGCCGGUGACAAACCGGAGGAAGGUGGGGACGACGUCAAGUCCUCAUGGCCCUUACAUCCAGGGCUACACACGUACUACAAUGGCCGGUACAAAGGGAAGCAAUAUCGCGAGGUGGAGCGAAUCCCAGAAAACUUGUCUCAGUUCGGAUUGUAGUCUGCAACUCGACUACAUGAAGGCGGAAUCGCUAGUAAGCGAGGAUCAGCAGGCCGCGCUGACUCCGUUCCCGGGCCUUGUACACACCGCCCGUCAAGCGAUGGAAGCUGGGGGUACCCGAAGUCGGUGACCUAACCUUAGGGAUG
This 1423-nucleotide ribosomal RNA is filed under the name uncultured prokaryote. RNAcentral describes it as "partial 16S ribosomal RNA". It matches the Rfam family "Bacterial small subunit ribosomal RNA". The record is from RNAcentral.